This 253-nucleotide ribosomal RNA is filed under the name uncultured bacterium. RNAcentral describes it as "partial 16S ribosomal RNA". It matches the Rfam family "Bacterial small subunit ribosomal RNA", at positions 524 to 776 of the family's 1533-position model. The record is from RNAcentral.
UACAGAGGUCCCGAGCGUUGUUCGGAUUCAUUGGGCGUAAAGGGUGCGUAGGCGGCGGGGCAAGUCUGAUGUGAAAUCCUGGGGCUCAACCUCAGAACUGCAUUGGAUACUGCCUUGCUAGAGUACUGGAGAGGGAACUGGAAUUUACGGUGUAGCAGUGAAAUGCGUAGAGAUCGUAAGGAAGGCCAGUGGCGAAGGCGAGUUCCUGGACAGUUACUGACGCUGAGGCACGAAGGCCAGGGGAGCAAACGGG